CCAGGAGAGAGAGGGACAACUCUGAAGCUGAAAGAGCUCAGCAUAUUAAGCAACUUCAUGAACUUCAGGAACAUAUUCAAGAGAAAGAACAUCAGUUUAUGGAAUUGCAGGAACAGAACAGAAUUGCAAAGGAAACCAUUCUUUACAAAGA
Long non-coding RNA from Ipomoea nil (Japanese morning glory), 151 nucleotides. RefSeq lists it as uncharacterized. The transcript is spliced from 2 exons. The record is from RefSeq and is a predicted model, not a curated record. Lineage: Eukaryota; Viridiplantae; Streptophyta; Magnoliopsida; Solanales; Convolvulaceae.